UACGGGGGGGGCAAGCGUUGUUCGGAAUUACUGGGCGUAAAGGGCUCGUAGGUGGCCAACUAAGUCAGACGUGAAGUCCCUCGGCUUAACCGGGGAACUGCGUCUGAUACUGGAUGGCUUGAGUUCGGGAGAGGGAUGCGGAAUUCCAGGUGUAGCGGUGAAAUGCGUAGAUAUCUGGAGGAACACCGGUGGCGAAGGCGGCAUCCUGGACCGACACUGACACUGAGGAGCGAAAGCCAGGGGAGCAAACGGG
This 253-nucleotide ribosomal RNA is filed under the name uncultured bacterium. Its description in RNAcentral is "partial 16S ribosomal RNA". It matches the Rfam family "Bacterial small subunit ribosomal RNA", at positions 524 to 776 of the family's 1533-position model. The record is from RNAcentral.